GUUUGUGCGUGAAUGAUGGUAUGAAUUUUGUAGUUUUCACAGUGGCAGCAGUGAACCAAACACACUCACUUAUAUCUCCCCUUCAGCUGUCUGGGUGUGUGUUUGCCUUCUCAAAGGCCUUUCUUCUGCACAGAGUGUACGUGUUGUCAUGCCGACCUCCUGACCUUGACAUAUGGUCCCGUAGCGCCCGUCACCGUCCUACCACUGUCAGACAGACAGCUGCAUGUGAGAGAACUUCUGGAAGCUGAGAGGAGAUGUUGCUGUGCGUGGCGUAGUACGACACGGUGAUGGGCAGCAUGUGACGAAUGUCCGGGGCGGGCUGCGACGACAGGAUGAGCUCCAUAGAGUCCCUCACCACCCAGAAGGGGUCCUCAGGCAUCUGGUGCUCAUAGAAGAUCACUCCUGACUCCAGCUAAGGACGAGGAGAGACAGCAUUGAAAACAUACAGAUUUUGACAUCUUACCUGGGAACACCAUCAGCUCCUCUUGUGUUACCAUGGUGAUGGUGAGGGGCCUGGCCGUGACCACGAAUCUGUAGAGAGGAGACGUGUGCUCGCCGUCUGUCACCGUGAAGCUGAAUCCGCCUGACUCCUCACCUGCAGACGCACAGAGUGGACUUUUAAAGACAUUUAUUUGCAGCGUACUGACAGUAUCAGGACUUGUCAUUCACAUGACCGUGUUGACUCUCAGGUGUGUCUGUGUCCUCCUCACCCUCGUGGAUGAAGAUGACCUCCCCCUUGUUGAUUUGAGCCUGUGUGAAAUUGGCAAUGGCUUCCUCCGGGAACUCCUUGAACGCCACCAUGCCGCUGGUUGGCGUCUCUACAUUGUAAACCAACUCCUCUGCGGGGGUGUCGGCGUCGUCCGUGGUUAGCAUGCUGGAUGUGAUGUCGGCCUCCUCGCCAGCGAGUAGCUGGGAGAAAACAAGAUGGUGGAGAUGUGAUGGAUGCACCAAGCGGCCAGGACAUUAGGUACCCCUUACAUUACAUUUUUUUUUGUUAUCUUAGAGGGUCUUACAAUAUUUUAAUAAUUGUGGCUGUAGUUUGGACCGCAUCAUCACCCAGAGCUGGUUCUAAUAUUUUGGCACUAAUUUAGCUAGUUAACAAGAAUACCAACCGUUCAGUAUGACAUUUUUGGCAUAGCAGCUGUCUAAAACAUGAUUGUUCGCAUGCUUCUUGGUUACAUCACUUGUUGCUAGGCAGAAUUUGUGGCUCACAUUGAUUGGUGCACCAAAGAAGAGUGAUUAAAGCAAAUGGCUGCAUGCCAUUCACGCUUGCUAUACUCCUUGGCAGCUUAGCAAAGAAAGGACAGGGAGGGUCGGCUGAUACAGUUGCACUAACUAUUCAGUGUCUUAUACUGUAUGUUUAUUUUUAUACUGCUCUAUUUUUACACUCAACUUUUCUUUAACUUUAUAUGUUUUGCAUUUUUAUUGGGCGGCAGUGGCUCAGGAGGUAGAGCAGGUUGGCAAGAAACUGGAAAGUUGGCGGUUCAUUCCUCGCUCCUUGUUGUGUCCCUGGGCAAGGCACUUCACCCACCUUGCCUGCAGUGCUGCCCACAGUUGUGUAUGCAUGUGAAUGAAUAUUUGGUGGUGGUCGGAGGGGCUGUAGGCUCGAUUUAGCAGCCACGUUUCCGUCAGUCUACCCCAGGGCAGCUGUGACUACAGAUGAAUAAUGGGUUCGCUUCACUGUGAAGCACUUUGGGUACCUUAUAGAAAACCUAAUCCAUUAUUAUUAUUUAUACCCAUGAAUGAAUCACUACUCUGCAUUUGUUGUUAUUGGAAUGAAUGCAAUAAAAAGGCCGAAAACAAGUUAAUUAAAUAAAACAUCAGAACUGUUUUGGAGACUAAACCUGUAGAUUACCGCAGCCAAUCAAGUUUUCUAUCACAUUCCUGAAAAGAGCCACAGCAACAACAACAAAACAGCACGUUUUUAAUCUCCAGGAAAAAAAAAUAAAAAAUCAUUCCUGCUAGACGGAGCAAAAAAAAUCAAUGCUUCCC
Long non-coding RNA from Dunckerocampus dactyliophorus (ringed pipefish), 1992 nucleotides. RefSeq lists it as uncharacterized. Lineage: Eukaryota; Metazoa; Chordata; Actinopteri; Syngnathiformes; Syngnathidae. The transcript is spliced from 3 exons. The record is from RefSeq and is a predicted model, not a curated record.